This 912-nucleotide ribosomal RNA is filed under the name Saccharomyces pastorianus. RNAcentral describes it as "LSU rRNA". It matches the Rfam family "Eukaryotic large subunit ribosomal RNA", at positions 37 to 964 of the family's 3401-position model. The record is from RNAcentral. Lineage: Eukaryota; Fungi; Ascomycota; Saccharomycetes; Saccharomycetales; Saccharomycetaceae.
AGCAUAUCAAUAAGCGGAGGAAAAGAAACCAACCGGGAUUGCCUUAGUAACGGCGAGUGAAGCGGCAAAAGCUCAAAUUUGAAAUCUGGUACCUUUGGUGCCCGAGUUGUAAUUUGGAGAGGGCAACUUUGGGACCGUUCCUUGUCUAUGUUCCUUGGAACAGGACGUCAUAGAGGGUGAGAAUCCCGUGUGGCGAGGAGUGCGGUUCUAUGUAAAGUGCCUUCGAAGAGUCGAGUUGUUUGGGAAUGCAGCUCUAAGUGGGUGGUAAAUUCCAUCUAAAGCUAAAUAUUGGCGAGAGACCGAUAGCGAACAAGUACAGUGAUGGAAAGAUGAAAAGAACUUUGAAAAGAGAGUGAAAAAGUACGUGAAAUUGUUGAAAGGGAAGGGCAUUUGAUCAGACAUGGUGUUUUGCGCCCUCUGCUCCUUGUGGGUGGGGGAAUCUCGCAGUUCACUGGGCCAGCAUCAGUUUUGGUGGCAGGAUAAAUCCGUAGGAAUGUAACUUGCUUCGGGAAGUAUUAUAGCCUAUGGGAAUACUGCCAACUGGGACUGAGGACUGCGACGUAAGUCAAGGAUGCUGGCAUAAUGGUUAUAUGCCGCCCGUCUUGAAACACGGACCAAGGAGUCUAACGUCUAUGCAAGUGUUUGGGUGUAAAACCCAUACGCGUAAUGAAAGUGAACGUAGGUUGGGGCCUCGCAAGAGGUGCACAAUCGACCGAUCCUGAUGUCUUCGGAUGGAUUUGAGUAAGAGCAUAGCUGUUGGGACCCGAAAGAUGGUGAACUAUGCCUGAAUAGGGUGAAGCCAGAGGAAACUCUGGUGGAGGCUCGUAGCGGUUCUGACGUGCAAAUCGAUCGUCGAAUUUGGGUAUAGGGGCGAAAGACUAAUCGAACCAUCUAGUAGCUGGUUCCUGCCGA